Molecule: transfer RNA, 89 nt
Filed under: Methylobacterium bullatum
Lineage: Bacteria; Pseudomonadati; Pseudomonadota; Alphaproteobacteria; Hyphomicrobiales; Methylobacteriaceae
Description: tRNA-Ala
Source: RNAcentral
GGGGACAUCGGCGGGCUCGCCCGUCCCUCGCGCGAACGCGAGACGACCUUGUCGCUGCCGUCGAGCCGUUCGACGCGGCAUGUCUCGGC